Molecule: ribosomal RNA, 500 nt
Filed under: Mycosphaerella sp. A106
Lineage: Eukaryota; Fungi; Ascomycota; Dothideomycetes; Mycosphaerellales; Mycosphaerellaceae
Description: eukaryotic LSU rRNA
Rfam family: 5.8S ribosomal RNA (bases 152-305)
Source: RNAcentral
UCAUUACUGAGUGAGGGCUACGGUCCGACCUCCAACCCUUUGUGAACCAAACUUGUUGCUUCGGGGGCGACCCUGCCGCUUCGGCGGUGCGGCGCCCCCGGAGGCCAUUAAACACUGCAUCAUUGCGUCGGAGUAAAAGUAAAUUAAACAAAACUUUCAACAACGGAUCUCUUGGUUCCAGCAUCGAUGAAGAACGCAGCGAAAUGCGAUAAGUAAUGUGAAUUGCAGAAUUCAGUGAAUCAUCGAAUCUUUGAACGCACAUUGCGCCCUCUGGUAUUCCGGGGGGCAUGCCUGUUCGAGCGUCAUUUCACCACUCAAGCCUGGCUUGGUAUUGGGCGUCGCGGCUCCGCGCGCCUUAAAGUCUUCCGGCUGAGCUGUCCGUCUCUAAGCGUUGUGGCAACUAUUCGCUUCGGAGGUCGGGUGGCCGCGGCCGUUAAAUCUUUCACAAGGUUGACCUCGGAUCAGGUAGGGAUACCCGCUGAACUUAAGCAUAUCAAAAG